Molecule: ribosomal RNA, 680 nt
Filed under: uncultured bacterium
Lineage: Bacteria
Description: bacterial SSU rRNA
Rfam family: Bacterial small subunit ribosomal RNA
Source: RNAcentral
GAGCGAACAGGAUUAGAUACCCUGGUAGUNCACGCCGUAAACGAUGAGUGCUGGGUGUUAGGCCCUUUCCGGGGCUUAGUGCCGCAGCUAACGCAUUAAGCACUCCGCCUGGGGAGUACGACCGCAAGGUUGAAACUCAAAGGAAUUGACGGGGGCCCGCACAAGCGGUGGAGCAUGUGGUUUAAUUCGAAGCAACGCGAAGAACCUUACCAGGUCUUGACAUCCCGAUGCCCGCUCUAGAGAUAGAGUUUUACUUCGGUACAUCGGUGACAGGCGGUGCAUGGUUGUCGUCAGCUCGUGUCGUGAGAUGUUGGGUUAAGUCCCGCAACGAGCGCAACCCUUAUUGUUAGUUGCCAUCAUUCAGUUGGGCACUCUAGCGAGACUGCCGGUAAUAAACCGGAGGAAGGUGGGGAUGACGUCAAAUCAUCAUGCCCCUUAUGACCUGGGCUACACACGUGCUACAAUGGCUGGUACAACGAGUCGCAAGUCGGUGACGGCAAGCUAAUCUCUUAAAGCCAGUCUCAGUUCGGAUUGUAGGCUGCAACUCGCCUACAUAAAGUCGGAAUCGCUAGUAAUCGCGGAUCAGCACGCCGCGGUGAAUACGUUCCCGGGCCUUGUACACACCGCCCGUCACACCACGAGAGUUUGUAACACCCGAAGUCGGUGAGGUAACCUUUUAG